Molecule: long non-coding RNA, 2463 nt
Filed under: Mytilus galloprovincialis (Mediterranean mussel)
Lineage: Eukaryota; Metazoa; Mollusca; Bivalvia; Mytilida; Mytilidae
Source: RNAcentral
AUCCAAAAUGUAUAGUAAGAGAUGAGGUACGAUUGCCGAUGAGACAACUAUCCAAGUGUGUUUAAUCUCGCAGUUGAAACUUUCCAAUACCCGCUCUUUAACAUGCAUGAGGUACAUUGUCCGAGAAACACGUUCUUUUAUUAAAACAUAGUUUGGGUAAAUUUUAAGAUUACAUACCAAUCAUCUUUAAAACAUUUGUUUUAUAAUAUAUUGAGUGAAGUUUUCUGAGGUGUUAUAGAUAAUCAGGAGCCUGUUGUUCAGUGGUUGUCGUGCGUUGGUGUGGUUCAUAGGUAUUUUUCGUUUCUCGUUUAUUUAUAUAGAUUAAACCGUAGGUUUUCCUGUUUGAAUUGUUUUACACUAGUCAUUUUGGGGCCCUUUUAUUUGCUGUUCGUUGGAGCCAAGGCUACUUGUUGAAGACCGUACUCUGACCUAUAAUUGUUAACUUUUUAUACAUUGUGACUUGGAUGGAGGGUUGUCUCAUUGGCACUCAUACCACAUCUUCUUAUUUAUAUGUACUUUUUUCGUUUCUAUUUUCCCUCAGUUUUAAUGGAUCUCAUGUCUGCCAUCCCUCUCUGGACCCUGUUUUUGAGCUGCUAUAAAUAAAUAUGCAGUCCUUUGCAGUUGAUGGAAAAAAAACGUGUAGUCAAUUUUAGUAAUAAUCGUUUGGCGUUGAUCGGUACUUAUACAUCCCGCCAUUGUGAUAUUGUGCUAUAGUCAUUUUUAUACGACCGCAAAAAAAAAUUGGGGUCGUAUUGUGUCCGAAGACAUUUGGUUUCCGAACAAUAACUUUAGUUUAUGUGUAUGGAUCUCUAUGAAAUUUAAUCAAAAGGUUCCAUACCACAAAACAAAAAGGUUGGGAUUGUUUUUUGGGGUGAUGGUCCCAACCGUUUAGGAAUUAGGGGGCCUGCUUCAUACCUUGAUCUUUUCCUCAAUAUUGACACAGAUUGGCGACUUCACACUAAAGUCUAUGACAAACGGGAUGAUUUCAACUUCCCAAUUAUUAAUUUCCCAUUUCUCAGCAGUAACAUACCCUCUGCUCCGUCGUAUGGUGUUUACAUAUCUCAAUUGAUACGUUAUGCUCGUGCAUGUUCACACUAUACGGACUUCAUAUACAGGAGUGUGCACCUUACGCAGAAACUGCUCCAACAAAGUUAUGAGGAGGAAAGAUUAAAAAUGACACUCCGUAAAUUAUAUGGACACCAUCACAAAUUGGUUGAUCUAUACGAUGUGUCUGUGUCUAAACUAACUAACGACGUUUUUACCACGUCUUAGAUUGUGGUUUACCAUCUACAUCGUCUGUCUGCUAAGUACCGAACGUGACCUAUUUCCGAAUAUGACUGUUUUGCCGAUUGAAAAUUCGCAUGCUAUACGACGUGUUUCGGUAUUUAUAGAUCCAACAUUCAUGUAUUUAGUUAUUAUGUUUCUUUUCUAAGUACGGUUAGAUAUUGUGUUUUAUUAUACUUCAUGUCAAAAUUCCAGAUUUUGAUUGGUUGAUAGCAAGAAGACAAUUAACUCUAUCCCAUGGCAAAAACUCUAUUACCCUUCACGGAGACGCUUGAUCGAGUGUGCGCUUUAAUAAAUACGGAUGAUUGGUAUUGAUUUUUCACAAGACGUCACAGCUAUUUCUUUGAAUUUGAAAUUGAAUAGACAGCAAUAACAGAACAUUCAGUAUAAUAAAUUAAAUAACAUAUAUCUGAGAGAGUGAUAGAGCAGAUUAUUACCCCUCGAAAAGACAUUGUCAAUCUUGGCUUGAAAUUUUAAGACUACGAUUUUUUUUUUUUUUAUUUUUUUUGGGGGGGGGGGGUGUAUAAUGCAUAAACAGAGCAUGACUUGCAAAUAAGUGUGAUUUUGUUAUACCCCGCAAAAUUCUGAAUUUGAGAAGGUUAUAUUAGCUAACUAUUUCAUUUAACAAUGAUGUAACUUAAUAGGAUUUCCAUUUUAAACCGAAUGUGAAAAUAUGUCAGCUGUGCUAAGGUUCUAAAUUUUGAUCGAAACAUUAUAAUAAGUGCGUCAUUAAAUAAAAAAAAACCUCGUUGCACAUUUAACAAGGACGGGUAUAUGAUACUGAUGGCGUGAUCAUAUAAGAAAACAAAAUAUCACUUUACAGCAUUAACAAUACAAUAUAUUUAUAGUUCUCUUUAAAUGGACAAAAAUAUAUAAAUCACCAUAAAACUUAAAAAUGUCAAAUCAUAACUUUCAUAAGAUUAACAAAGUACAAUACUGAGAAUCGUCUUUCUGCUGUAUUUUUUCUGAUUCCAAGUAUUCAUAGAGAAAGUCUGUUCUUAUUAUGUUAAAUUUGUAAGUGCAUUGUUGGGUUAAUACAAAUUAUUAUCCAUAAAACACUUAACAUCUCAUAUACCGAUUAAGAAGACACGAAAGCAGGGAACAAGCAAAGACUGAUAGAAUCGCAUGACUUCCAAAAAGAACGAUACCGGGUGCGGCGACACGGUAAGCGUCUCCUGC